This 308-nucleotide small nuclear RNA is filed under the name Octodon degus (degu). RNAcentral's name for it is "7SK RNA (ENSODEG00000025749.1)". The stretch from base 1 to 202 matches the Rfam family "7SK RNA". Rfam says of the family: 7SK was discovered as an abundant small nuclear RNA in the mid-70s but a possible function has only recently been suggested. Two independent studies have found that 7SK RNA binds the CDK9/cyclin T complex (known as elongation factor P-TEFb). P-TEFb activates transcription by phosphorylating the C-terminal domain of RNA polymerase II. Lineage: Eukaryota; Metazoa; Chordata; Mammalia; Rodentia; Octodontidae. The record is from RNAcentral.
GGAUGUGAGGGCAGUCUGGCUGAAACAUCUGUCACUCUACUGGUCACCGGGGUUGAGCUGGCUGGUCUGGCUGGGUACGUGGGUGUCCCCUUCCUCCCUCGCUGCUCUGUGUGUGGCUCUCCUGAAGCUGCAGCUGCAUGCUCAGUGGGAGAGGGUGACCACCCCGACAGAAGAGGCCUGGUACCUUGGCUAGGGGUACCUUGGCUAGGGGCUAGCUCAGCACCUAGUAGCCUGAGCUGCCCUGCUACAAUCUCUAAACAAGCUCUUAAAUGAAGACACUAAAGCUCUAAAAGGUUAAAUUACUUGGU